GAUGAACGCUGGCGGCGUGCUUAACACAUGCAAGUCGAACGGAAAGGCUCCUGCUUGCAGGGGUACUCGAGUGGCGAACGGGUGAGUAACACGUGGGUGAUCUGCCCUGCACUUCGGGAUAAGCCUGGGAAACUGGGUCUAAUACCGGAUAGGACGAUGGUUUGGAUGCCAUUGUGGAAAGUUUUUCGGUGUGGGAUGAGCUCGCGGCCUAUCAGCUUGUUGGUGGGGUAAUGGCCUACCAAGGCGUCGACGGGUAGCCGGCCUGAGAGGGUGUACGGCCACAUUGGGACGGAGAUACGCCCCAGACCCCGACGGGAGGAAGCGGUGGGGAUUAUGGAACAAGGGGCGCAAGCCUGAUGCAGCGCCGCGGGGGGGGGGAUGACGGCCUUGGGUUUGUAAACUCUUUUCGCUGGGGAAGAAGAGGAAGGGAGGGUACUGGGGAAAGAAGCCCGGGCAAACUACGUG
Molecule: ribosomal RNA, 465 nt
Filed under: uncultured bacterium
Lineage: Bacteria
Description: partial 16S ribosomal RNA
Rfam family: Bacterial small subunit ribosomal RNA
Source: RNAcentral